AAGAUCCUAAGUUUUGCUUUCUUGCUUUUUGAUUGGUGAUUCUUUUUUUAAUCUUUGCAUCUAUGUAUUUAACAGGUAUGUUAUUUUAUACUUUCAAACCAGUUUUGAUUUUUGUAAAAAAAAAUACUACAUAAUUUUGUACUAGGAAUGAUGGUUUGUAUGGUGAAUAUUGGUGAAACAUGUAUUGUGCAGGUGAACUGGUUAAAUUCUUAUUACUAGAUUUAAUUCAAAACUUGCAUACCACAUGCUCGAUAAAAUGCUCGUGAGAGAAUUUGAGGUGACUUUGGUGCAUAAAAAUGAAUCAAACCUUAUAAUUUAAUAUACACUUCAUUAAUGAUAUUUUAGUUUUUUUUUUUUUUGGAUGCUGAAGUAAAUCCAGGUGUUAAGCUAAGUGGUGCUUCAAGAUUGGAAAGAAAUUUGCAACUUGAGUAUCUGUUGUGAAGGUCUACUUUUUGUGGUUACAUAUAGUUGAGUUUAUAGCAUGUGUUUCUCCUUUGGGGUUUAGCACAUACACCAUUGCAUGUAGUAUGCAUGAUUCUGUAAGUUAUAAUAUUAGCUAGCCAAAAUGUUUAGUUUGAUUGUCACAAGGUCUCUGUGCAUGUGUGAGUCCUGGUAUAGUUUCUUAAUAUCAAAUAUAAGAAACUAUGUUCUGUCAUUUCUGAACCCAAAAAAUGAGAACCAGCCAUUAUAUCAGUUUGGACCAUGUUUUUUUUCUUGGCCUCCCUCACAAAGGUUAUGUGUCCCAACAGUAGGCUACACCAUGAAUCUGCUGGUUCCUAAUCCCUCUUUCUUAGGUUUUUGUUUGUUGAAAUUAACUUGUUCAAUGCAAUGAGCCCAUAGAUCCUAGAUCCUGAAAAAGAGUGGUCUUUGGUUUUUGAUAAACAAAGAAGAGAAAUAAGUGAACUUUGGAAUGAAUGUAACACACCUUUGAUUCACAAACUCUACUUUUUAUUGCUAUUUAAAGGCGAUCGAUUUGAUUCCUUGUACAUGGAGGUUGAGCUUCUAAGACUCUUUUUUAAAGCACAUGCAAUAUCAUGCUACCAGUUGCGAAAAGAGUAAUGCUGAGCAAGAAAAUGUUAAAGAUGUUUUCAUCAAUCCAACAGUGCGCGUGCUCUCAGUUGCGAAAACAGUGGCGGCUAUGGAACAGAGUUAUUUAUAAUAACGAUCAGGUCUUUGUGAGCAAGGUUGUGGAGGAUAUCAAAGCGUUGGGUUACUUGUGGAUCAAACACCGGUCGAAAAUGUUAGAGUCAGUCUCCUUGGAUUAAAAGCCAAGGAUCUUGACGCUUGUAUUUCAACUAAAAUAACAUUUUUAGUAUUCUAGAGGCGACACUUUCACCCGUUCUCCUAGAAAUAGGUAAAGGGCAUUUCUCAGUUGCCACUUGACCUGUCCUGUACUGAACCGCAACCAGAAAUCUAAGAAUGGCGAAACCAAGAACCAGACCAAUCUAAACUUCAAAAUUGGUUUGGUAUUUUGGAUCCAACUUUUCGGAAACACUUCCUAGCGUUCUCAGACAAUUGAAACUGGUUUAGUAUUUACCCACGAGCAACUCAAUCCAUCUGCAAGUGAUUCCAUUCUGCCCCAUUCUAAAUCUUCGAUUUAUUUGAAAAGAUUACGGGUUCGGGUUCUGCAAGCAAGAAAUGUACGUAUAUGGAGGGCGUAGUACGUACGCUAAUCUAGCUACCAGAUUAGUUUAUUUUUUUCUUUUAUACACCCAUGCGCCACUUUGCAAUUUAGGUGAUUUUUAACGAGCUCACUUGUUUUUUUUCUUAAAUUUAUUAAGUUUAAUGAGCUGUAGGAGUCAAUAAUAACCAAGAUCUGAUUUUUAUGUAAAUUCGUUGAGUACAAUUAUAAGAUUCAGAUUUGGUUGUUAUUUGCUUAGUGAUAUAGCAUAACAUGUGUGAGCUUUAUGUGUGUUUGUAAGAUAGAUCAGUUUUUUUUUU
Molecule: long non-coding RNA, 1941 nt
Organism: Helianthus annuus (common sunflower)
Lineage: Eukaryota; Viridiplantae; Streptophyta; Magnoliopsida; Asterales; Asteraceae
Exons: 3
Source: RefSeq, a predicted model, not a curated record